RNAcentral lists this ribosomal RNA (446 nucleotides) under uncultured bacterium. RNAcentral describes it as "partial 16S ribosomal RNA". It matches the Rfam family "Bacterial small subunit ribosomal RNA", at positions 338 to 795 of the family's 1533-position model. The record is from RNAcentral.
CCUACGGGAGGCAGCAGUAGGGAAUUUUCGGCAAUGGGGGGAACCCUGACCGAGCAACGCCGCGUGAACGAAGAAGUUAUUCGUAAUGUAAAGUUCUUUUAACAGGGAAGAAAGAGAAAUUUGACGGUACCUGAAGAAUAAGCUCCGGCUAACUACGUGCCAGCAGCCGCGGUAAUACGUAGGGAGCGAGCGGUAUCCGGAAUUAUGGGGCGAAAAGGGUGCGUAGAUGGCAUAGUAAGUCUUUUGUAAAAAUGCUGGGCUCAACCCAGUAGGGCAAAAGAUACUGGAAAGAUAGAGUAUGACAGAGGCAAGUGGAACUACAUGUGUAGCGGUAAAAUGCGUAAAUAGAUGUAAGAACACCAGUGGCGAAGGCGGCUUGCUGGGUCGAUACUGACAUUGAGGCACGAAAGCGUGGGGAGCAAACAGGAUUAGAUACCCUAGUAGUC